GGGGCCGUAGCUCAGUUGGGAGAGCGCUACGAUGGCAUUGUAGAGGUCGUCGGUUCGAUUCCGUCCGGCUCCACCA
RNAcentral lists this transfer RNA (76 nucleotides) under Fidelibacterota bacterium. RNAcentral describes it as "Candidatus Marinimicrobia bacterium tRNA-Ala". It matches the Rfam family "tRNA". Rfam says of the family: Transfer RNA (tRNA) molecules are approximately 80 nucleotides in length. RNAcentral also lists the same sequence under 1 other name. The record is from RNAcentral. Lineage: Bacteria; Pseudomonadati; Fidelibacterota.